CCUACGGGAGGCAGCAGUGGGGAAUAUUGCACAAUGGGGGGAACCCUGAUGCAGCAACGCCGCGUGGGUGAAGAAGGACUUCGGGAUGGAAAGCCCUGUCAGCAGGGAAGAAAAUGACGGUACCUGACCAAGAAGCCCCGGCUAACUACGUGCCAGCAGCCGCGGUAAUACGUAGGGGGCAAGCGUUAUCCGGAUUUACUGGGUGUAAAGGGAGCGUAGACGGCAUGGCAAGUCUGGAGUGAAAGCCCGUGGCUCAACCACGGGACUGCUUUUGAAACUGUGUUGCUGGAGUGCAGGAGGGGUCAGCGGAAUUCCUGGUGUAGCGGUGAAAUGCGUAGAUAUUAGGAGGAACACCGGUGGCGAAGGCAGCUUACUGGACUGUAACUGACGUUGAGGCUCGAAAGCGUGGGGAGCAAACAGGAUUAGAUACCCCAGUAGUC
RNAcentral lists this ribosomal RNA (440 nucleotides) under uncultured bacterium. RNAcentral describes it as "partial 16S ribosomal RNA". It matches the Rfam family "Bacterial small subunit ribosomal RNA", at positions 338 to 795 of the family's 1533-position model. The record is from RNAcentral.